Molecule: ribosomal RNA, 894 nt
Filed under: Bacillus pumilus
Lineage: Bacteria; Bacillati; Bacillota; Bacilli; Caryophanales; Bacillaceae
Description: bacterial SSU rRNA
Rfam family: Bacterial small subunit ribosomal RNA
Source: RNAcentral
AGGGAAGAACAAGUGCAAGAGUAACUGCUUGCACCUUGACGGUACCUAACCAGAAAGCCACGGCUAACUACGUGCCAGCAGCCGCGGUAAUACGUAGGUGGCAAGCGUUGUCCGGRAUUAUUGGGCGUAAAGGGCUCGCAGGCGGUUUCUUAAGUCUGAUGUGAAAGCCCCCGGCUCAACCGKGGAGGGUCAUUGGAAACUGGGAAACUUGAGUGCAGAAGAGGAGAGUGGAAUUCCACGUGUAGCGGUGAAAUGCGUAGAGAUGUGGAGGAACACCAGUGGCGAAGGCGACUCUCUGGUCUGUAACUGACGCUGAGGAGCGAAAGCGUGGGGAGCGAACAGGAUUAGAUACCCUGGUAGUCCACGCCGUAAACGAUGAGUGCUAAGUGUUAGGGGGUUUCCGCCCCUUAGUGCUGCAGCUAACGCAUUAAGCACUCCGCCUGGGGAGUACGGUCGCAAGACUGAAACUCAAAGGAAUUGACGGGGGCCCGCACAAGCGGUGGAGCAUGUGGUUUAAUUCGAAGCAACGCGAAGAACCUUACCAGGUCUUGACAUCCUCUGACAACCCUAGAGAUAGGGCUUUCCCUUCGGGGACAGAGUGACAGGUGGUGCAUGGUUGUCGUCAGCUCGUGUCGUGAGAUGUUGGGUUAAGUCCCGCAACGAGCGCAACCCUUGAUCUUAGUUGCCAGCAUUCAGUUGGGCACUCUAAGGUGACUGCCGGUGACAAACCGGAGGAAGGUGGGGAUGACGUCAAAUCAUCAUGCCCCUUAUGACCUGGGCUACACACGUGCUACAAUGGACAGAACAAAGGGCUGCGAGACCGCAAGGGUUUAGCCAAUCCCACAAAUCUGUUCUCAGUUCGGAUCGCAGUCUGCAACUCGACUGCGUGAAGCU